Molecule: ribosomal RNA, 823 nt
Filed under: Citrobacter freundii
Lineage: Bacteria; Pseudomonadati; Pseudomonadota; Gammaproteobacteria; Enterobacterales; Enterobacteriaceae
Description: partial 23S ribosomal RNA
Rfam family: Bacterial large subunit ribosomal RNA
Source: RNAcentral
GGUUAAGCGACUAAGCGUACACGGUGGAUGCCCUGGCAGUCAGAGGCGAUGAAGGACGUGCUAAUCUGCGAUAAGCGUCGGUAAGGUGAUAUGAACCGUUAUAACCGGCGAUUUCCGAAUGGGGAAACCCAGUGUGAUCCGUCACACUAUCAUUACGUGAAUACAUAGCGUAAUGAAGCGAACCGGGGGAACUGAAACAUCUAAGUACCCCGAGGAAAAGAAAUCAACCGAGAUUCCCCCAGUAGCGGCGAGCGAACGGGGAGCAGCCCAGAGUCUGAAUCAGCUUGUGUGUUAGUGGAACGGUCUGGAAAGUCCGACGGUACAGGGUGAUAGUCCCGUACACCAAAAUGCACAGGUUGUGAACUCGAAGAGUAGGGCGGGACACGUGGUAUCCUGUCUGAAUAUGGGGGGACCAUCCUCCAAGGCUAAAUACUCCUGACUGACCGAUAGUGAACCAGUACCGUGAGGGAAAGGCGAAAAGAACCCCGGCGAGGGGAGUGAAAAAGAACCUGAAACCGUGUACGUACAAGCAGUGGGAGCCUCUUUAUGGGGUGACUGCGUACCUUUUGUAUAAUGGGUCAGCGACUUAUAUUCUGUAGCAAGGUUAACCGUAUAGGGGAGCCGAAGGGAAACCGAGUCUUAACUGGGCGUUAAGUUGCAGGGUAUAGACCCGAAACCCGGUGAUCUAGCCAUGGGCAGGUUGAAGGUUGGGUAACACUAACUGGAGGACCGAACCGACUAAUGUUGAAAAAUUAGCGGAUGACUUGUGGCUGGGGGUGAAAGGCCAAUCAAACCGGGAGAUAGCUGGUUCUCCCCGAAAGCU